UGCAAUCGGGUCCGUGUCCAAUCGAGUCUGUGUCAAAUCGAAUCCGUGUCCAAUCGGGACUGUGUCCAAUUGCUUAUGUACGCAACCAGGCCUCACUCACUUCAAACAUUUUUGAUCGCCAUAUUGAAUCCAUCAUCUUGAGUUCGAAGAUUUUGAUGCUAGAUUCAUAAUCAGUAACCCCCAAAAACCCCAUAUAGUGAUUUUCAGUAAAUUUGAUUGACUUCAAAUAUUCUCGACCGCCAUAUUGGAUCCGCUAUCUUGAAUUUGACAUGUUUGGUAACAGAAUACCAAUCAGCGGCCCUAAAAAGCUUUAAAAACCAAUUUAGAUGAUAAAGCGAUUAAAAGAAAUAUUUACAUUUGGAAAAAUCGGAAAUUUUAUAUGUUUUCUCUCUUUCUAACGAGUGAGGCCCGAUUGCGCACAUAAACGAUCGGACCUUUAUUACCAUCUUCUACCGCCAUAUUGGAUGUUGUCAUCUUGAAUUAAAAUAUACUCACACAUAUUGGAAAGUUCAUGGUCCAUGGAUGCAAAAUUUUCACUUCUCAGAAAUAUUUCUAUCCGUUUUAUGUGUAAAUAUUAAUUGAAAAAACAAUUCAAUAAAAAGAAUCAGUUUUUUUGCAAGUAAAUUAACAUAAAUUGUCCAGAUCGCAUUCUUGAGAAAUUCUGACACCGGAUAUUGAAAGUUCAGGAAAUUUUACAUAAGAAAAAGUUAGUUUGAAAUUUUUUGAAGAUUAGAUUUAUAAUAUAAAAUACCACUUAAGAAGUCACAGAAAACUAUUCGCUUGAGACUUAAUGGGUUAAACUUCCUAUUACAAUAUAAAACAAUACACAAAACAAAACAAUAGAUAACUUUUUUGCAAGAUGUUUCUACAUGUAUCACUAGUAUAGAACAAAUUAUUACCAACUGUCAAACUGAUCGCGAAAUUCAACUAUAAACUUGUACGUCGAAAACAAGUCAUGUUCGGUAUUUUUGUUUGGUCAUUUUCUCAAUUGGCUCGAAGAACAGCCGCCGUGUUAGCGAUUGCGCAACUUCGAGAAUAAUCUAAUAUGAACGCAUCUUGAGUGAUAUGAACGUUAUGCACCUUGGCGGACAUGUCAAAGUCUGAUAUUGGAAAUGUCGAAAUGUCAUUUUUUACAGACUCGAUCUCGAAAUCUCGGGAUUGACUGCAUCGAUUUUAUUCGGCCUGGUUGCAAUCGAAAACUCGUAUCAAUAUUAUGUAAUAAUAUUGAUAUCCUUAGAUGUUUUAUUUUAUAACUUUUGUUUUUGAAAUAUUUAAAUCGUAAAAUCUUAGACGAAAACUUGAGAUAAAACAACAGAUUAUACUAUGUAACGCCUCAACAUUGCUAUAGUACCGUAGCUAUAGGAUAUUUUAUUUAUAAUAGAAUAUUUUUUGUACUUGGUGUCGUAACGACACCACAUUUUUGAAGAUACUCUGCAGUCUAGACCUUUUUUGUACAUUCUAUUAUUUUUUUGAUGUUUUUUAAAUAAAUUAAUUUUAAGAUUUUUUUUUUCGAUAAUAAGUCGAUUGUUCUACGUUGGAGUUUAAUAUAUUAGAGUUAAAAUGAUAACGUAACACUUUGGUACAGUAGGAAUGAACAGUAGGUCCACUCGGCGACGGUGCCUUUGAUCUCCAUGAGUCUAAUAUAUUAGAGUUAAAAUGAUAAUGUAACACUUUGGUACAGUAGGAAAGAACAGUAGGUCCACUCAGCGUCGGUGCCUUUGAUCUCCAUGACUAAAAGAUCCGCCAUAUUGUUGGUUGUGCGCGGAUUUUAAUCAUUGGUGCAAGUUUUCGGCCGCCAGCACCAAGAUGGUCCCAUUGGUGAGGACACGCACUUUGUUAUAAACAUACUUUGUCGCCAUAUUGUUGGUUGUGCAUAUCGUGCGCAUAAGUCAUGCGCAAGGAACGACCAUUAGCACGAUUUUCAGUAGAGUGAACCUACUGUUCUUUCCUAUACUGUGACUUUGCUGUCACACACACAUACACAUGCGCGCGCCCACGCACGGACGCACGCACGCACACAUACAUACGUGAAAAGUAGUUGUUGAUGGCAUGCGUGGAUUUUGUAUGGUACUUUAAAGUAAAACGAUGCCCGCAAUUCCCGUGACGCUCUCGAGGUUAAAGUAGUAUCUCGGGGUAAACGCCACUAUGAAAACUAUGUCGACAAUAGCAUGGCUUUUGCGGUUCAGAACGCGUUUCAUUUAAUCUAUACAUAUGCCUGUACAUAUGAGCUCUGUCCGACGUUAAAUCAGUUAGUCGCCACACUGCGUUCACCGAUGAUAUUACAAUCAACCUUUGCAAGGACACCUUCCGGACGUGCAUGGGUAUGUGUGUGUUACUUCGUUACCAUGCGUUUCUCCUAAAUAAUAGUAAGCUUCGACGGGAGGCUCGCUCGCCCAUUGGGCUUGAUUUCAUCUUGCUUGCUUAUUAAUAACAAUGUUCACUUUUAAUUGACAGUAAUAACGCCGAUAUUGUAUCUGGUAAUUUGCGCAAGUGCUUAAGUAUAUGUGGUGUAAGUCAAUACGCCUAUUAAAUUCAAUUAGAAAUCGGUAGUUGUUUUAAUCUGCAGAAUUAAAAACUAAACUUUCUAUUUUUAUCUAGUAUACGCUAAAUGUAUUGAUAAGAGAGCUGUUUUAAUGAUCUUGAUCUCGAAAUAUGAUGUUAAGACUUGAAAGUGAUGACGUUGAAUAAGUUUUAGUCCCGUUUUUUGUUCUUUAAAAAGUUAUUAAUAAUGCAAAAACCAAUUGGUGGAAUGGCAAGAAAAGUUUCAUAAAGAUACAAAAAGUAAACAAGGACAAACUGUACAUGACAAAUAUUUACAUAAAUAUAUGAAUGAUCUAUAAUUUUUAUUAAAAUGAUGAAACAAAUUUGGUUAUUAGCAUUUUGGUUGAGGUAAUCAGACAAAUUUGACAAAUUUGAUUGCAUUCUAGUUAUGACCGAAAAAAAGUUUAAUGACAUUAAUUAAAAAUCUGAUAAAUUCAAACAGUACGUUUGUUUGAAAAUAAAUGAAUCAGAAUUUUGGUAAAAAUCAUUACGUUUUUAAUAUAUAUUUGAAGUACUUUCGUGUACAAAACUGAAAACUAUAUUAUCAAAAUACAAUGUCUAUAAAGCUGGCAUAGUCACUUUAGCCACUUUAGCACAAUCGAAUAAAAUUUAUAUAUAAAUUUAGUGCUCUUUUGUUGCUAAUUUGUUGCUCCAUUCCCCAUUUUGUUGCUCCAACCGAUUCGGAGAAAUCACUGGCUGUACCAACUUUAAAUAAAGUUAGCACAACCCCUCCCCAAAAUUUUUUUUAAUUAAACAAAUACGGUGGAUUUUUGUAGAUCUAAUUAGUUGUUAAUUAGUUAUUUUAUUCCGAAUUUUUUUUUCCAUUAUUAAACCCCGAAAACCAUCUCCAAAGUUACCUUAUAGUAACAAAACGUUCUAAAAUUAUAAAUAACCACAUAUAUUGAAUGAUAUCGCUUCCUCGGUUUUGUUACUUGCAAUUUAUAACAAUUCCGAUUUUGUUGCUCCACUCCUAUCGAUUAAAAAUCACCUUAACUACUCCACAUUAGCUCCAUACAGCACCCUAAAAUUAAAAAUAAUAGCUAAAUUUUGACUGAUAACGCUUUAUCGAUUUUGUUGCUCACAGUUUAUUUUUGCUCACAAUUCCGAUUUAGUUGCACGAAGAAUAUGCAGUUUCUGAAAUUGUUGCUAAUUGUUUAUUCCAAAAAACGGAUUGAAAGUGUGGUUGUACUGGGACACGUUCAAGAGCUAGUAAAGUAUUCUUACAGAAUUUGUUGCUCGACUAAUUUUGGUAUUAAAGUCCUUUUCGAUCUAAUAUAUAAUACUCGAAAAAUAUGCAGUUUCUGAAUUUGUUACUAAUUGUUAUUGCAAAAAACUGGCUGAAAGAGUGCUGGGACGCGUUCAAGAACAAAGUACCCUUAUAGAAUUUGUUGCUCGACUAAUUUCGGUAUUAAAGUCUUUCUCGAUUUAGGUGCUCGAAGAAUAUGCAAUUUCUGAAUUUGUUGCUAAUUGUUUAUUGCAAAAAACUAACUAAAAGAAUGGUUGUGCUGGAACGCGUUCAAGAGCAAAUUACCCUUAUAGAAUUUGUUGCUCGAUUAAUAUUGGUAUUAAAAUCUUUCUCGAUUUAGUUGCUCGGAGGAUAUGCAGGUUUCAAAUUUGUUGCUAAUUGUUUAUUGCAAUAAAGUGGCUAUAAACUCCAAGCAACAAAAUUGAUGAAGCGUUAUCAGUUGAGAUAUAGUUGCUAUUUUCAGUUUUAGGGUGUUGUGCUAAUGUAGAGUGGCUAGGAGUGGUUUUCAGUCGAUAGGUAGAACAAUAAAAUCGGAAUUGUUAUAAAUAACGAGCAACAAAAUCGAGUAACGGCUAUGAUUUGAUAUAUGUGGUUAAUUAUUAUUUUAGAACAUUUUAUUACUAUAGGGUAAUUUUGGGCGUGGUUUUAGGGUUUAAUAAUGGAGCAAAAAAAUCUACUGCAUUUGUUUAAUUAAAAAAAAAAUUUGUUUGGGUUGUGCUAACUUUAUUUAAAGUUGGCACAGCUACUGGUUUUUCCGAAUCGGCUGGAGCAACAAAAUCGGGAAUGGAACAACAAAUUAGCAACAAAAGAGCACUAAAUUUAUAUAUAAGUUUUAUUCAAUUGCUUAAGUAGCUGUGCCAGCUUUAUAGACGUCAAAAUAGAUCUCUCACUUGCUCAUUUGUUCAUGGAAUUCAAUUUUGGGGAUUCACAAAAGGAAUUAUUUUAUUAGAAUAUGGAAAAUCUCAUAAAGCUUUUUAUUUUAUCUUAUAUGGUUUUUUCUUACGAGAAUGCCGCAUUGCACUCCAUCUGGCAAUGCCGCAUAUUGUUAAAAAUAUCAUAACUUUUCUGUAUAUUAGACCAACCAGAAAGUGUUUCAAAUUUUUAUAUAUUAUAUAGACGUUGUAUUUUGAAAAUUAGUAUAACACUAUAUGUUGUACAAUCAAAUAAGUAUAUUACACAAAAUUUUUAUUUUUUGUAUGAAAUAAGUAUUCUAAGAUAACAUUAAUACUUUGUGUUAUGUUUUAUUUUUAGUGAUAUUAAAAGAAAGGCAGGAAGAAACUCUUUAUUGGAAAUUAAAGUAAAAGAAGAAUAGAAAAGAGUAAAAGAAAUUAAAGUAAAAGAAGAUAAAAGAAAAAAGUGGACGAUAAGAAGAAAGAUAAUUAACCACAAAGCUCGGAAUUUACAGAGUAUCUAACAAUAUAUGUGGACUUUGAAGCUGGUGUAUGCUACUGUUGAUAAGUUUAUCGAGGUUCAUCCCAUUUUAAAUGCAGCGAACCAUCAUAUAAUAGAGAAUUGGCAGUACAAUUCUUAUCAAAAAAAUUAUCUAAAGGUGUACCUUCUAGUUUUUCAAGUAUGUCACUAUUUUAUGGCAGACCAGAUAAGAGAAUAGCUACAAGUGUUAUAAUUUUAUUUAAAAAAAUACUAUAUUGUAACUGUGUGGCUCUUAAAUUAAGAUAUUGUCUAACCAUCUUUUUUAGAUUAUUGAAAUAGGUAAAAAGUGUGAAAUCCUGUUUGAAACAAUAAAGUUACAAUAAAGUUACAGAUUAUAAAGUCACUCGGCUGGUCUGCCGAUGACAUAGUCACAGGCUAUAAUAUCGGAGAUAUGUUUAUAUGGAUGCCAAGGAUCACCUCUACGUCUAUUUAGUAACUGUCAUGGAUUAUACGCGAGCUGGAUAAGGCACAGAAAUAUACAGAUAAAGCUUUUAGUCAAAUCAAAAACUAAAAAGUAAGUAUUUAAAUACUUUGUUCCUGAAACAAUUUAUUCUAAUUAAUACAAUUUUUUUCAUACACUUACAAAGAUUAUAUUUAAAAUUUUUAUUAAUAUUUUUGAUUUUCUAACUCAUUUUUAUUGUAAAUUGAGACAUACAUGAGAUGAAAGACUACAAAAUGACUACGAGUCGAUUUCUCAAAUAUGAUACAAUACGUCAUCCCAUAUUUUACUUUUCAUUCUCUUUGCAUCAAUUUAAUAUAGCAUUAUAUUUAUUGCUAUUUUACAGUUAAGAUUGUAGUUAAAUUGUAGUAGUACAUUUAUUAUUAUAUUGAUUGUUCUUUUACAGUUAUUGAUAAUAAUCAUAUUUUGCCCCUGUUUUAAUUAAUGCUCUUGGAACAUAUAAUCAUGUGUCGGCUUGUAAUGGAAAAGCGUGGCUCUUAUGAAAAUUUUUCAAGCUUGCCAACUUUGCAGGUGAUAGCCUAGAUUACUUAAAGGCCAUAGACCACAUUCACAAUUUCCAUAAUUUCCAUAAGAUCCAUGCUUUUGUUUUCCAUUACAAGCCGGCACAUAAAUGUAUGUUCCAAGAGCAUUAAAUGAAACACAGACAGAAUAGGGACGAUAAACAUAAUUAUAACAGUACAAUUACAAUUUAACUACAAAUAAAAAAUUUUUUGAAUGUGUUUUUUAUGAAUGUAUGAAGAGAAUUGAAUUAAUUAUAAUAAAUUGUUUUGGGAACGACAAAGUAUUUAAAUAAUUACUUUUUAGUUUUUCGAUUUCACUAAGACCCUUAUUGGUAUAUUUCUGUGUCUUAUCCAUAUAUCCGGCUUACAUAGAAUGCAUGGCAGUUAAAUAAGCUAAGACAAAUAAUCCUUACAAAUAAUCCUUAGGCAGCCAUAUAAACAUAUCUCCGAUAUUUUUUUUUGUAGCCUGUGAUCACGUCAUCAGCAGGCCAGCUGGGUGACAUAGUUUGUUGUAAUUGUUUCAAACAAGAUUUCACAUGCUUUUUAUUUAUUUCAAUACAUUGCAAAAAAAUAAACCGUUCACUUUAUUAUACCAUUUUUUUGUAAAAUUACUUAUAUUUGGUACCGUAAGUAGACAUAUUCUGUUGGCCAGACUGUUAAUUCCGAGUUAAUUAUACUAUAUAAUAUUUAGAGAAGAGACUCGAGACAAAAUACACGCGCGCGCGCGCACGUGUGUGUGCGUGCGUGCACGCGCAUCAUGCUCUCUUUCUUCUUACUUGUCUAUUCAUUUUUCUUUUCCUAUCCAUCUAUCAUACUUUAAGUUUAAAUAAAAUGUUUCUUCUUCUCUUUCUUUUAAUAUAAUAACUAAAAAUAACACCAAAACACUAAAAUUAUAAAACAAAGUAUUAACUUAUCUCAGAAUACUUAUUUCCAUUUUUUAAAAAUGAAAAUUUUGUGUAAUAUACUUAUUUGAUUGUACAACAUAUAGUGUUAUACUAAUCUUCAAAUUAGACAUAGCCGUUUUUUCCUCCACGAUUAAUCCACGAUGUAAUAGGCAUAUCAUGAAAAUGAAUUAAAAUAUAUAAUCAACGACCCCGAAAAUUCCUAUAUACUUAUUUUGAGUUAAUUUUACUUUUAUUUUCUAAUGUUAUUUGCCAUCUUGGAUCUGUCAUAUUAAAUUUUGCAAAUCUAAUCUCGGAUUUGUAAUCAGUGACAAAAAAAACCAUGUAAAAGUAUUAUUCGAUUGAUACCGAAAUCCAAUUAUUCCCUUUUCUCGCGUAAAAAAUAAUCGAUCGAAUUUUUCAGCUUUACAGCGCUAUUUUGGCCGGCGCCAUGUUAAAUUUUAAAAAACUAAGUGACUGAUUUUGAAGUUUGAAGUCUAUGGACGCAAUUAAUUUACUCUCGAAGAAUGAGCUCAAGCAGUUUCAAUGUGAUAUCGUUGGUUAAAAAGAAUCUAUCAGUGGAAAUUUCUUCGAAAAAAUUGUUUAUAACAAUUUUGGAAUUGAUCUUUUGAAAAAAAUGACAUUGAAUUUUGAAAAGCAUGAAAUUUUACGUAAGAAAAAUUUAGGCUUGAAUUUUUUGAAGAACUAGAACAUGAUGAAUUUUUUGAGCGAAAAAA
This is a long non-coding RNA of Monomorium pharaonis (pharaoh ant), 7796 nucleotides long. RefSeq lists it as uncharacterized. The transcript has 2 exons. The record is from RefSeq and is a predicted model, not a curated record. NCBI's taxonomy places the organism in Eukaryota, Metazoa, Arthropoda, Insecta, Hymenoptera, Formicidae.